Molecule: non-coding RNA, 528 nt
Organism: Chelonoidis abingdonii (Abingdon island giant tortoise)
Lineage: Eukaryota; Metazoa; Chordata; Testudines; Testudinidae
Source: the annotation of a RefSeq genome assembly
GAGCACUGGCCGAUCAGACAUACCAAGAUGGUCUCACAGGCUCAACUCAUCUGCCUGCUAGUGCUCUGGCUCCAGGACACCAAUGCGCAGAUUGUGCUGACUCAGACUCCAGAAUCCCUUGCAGUUUCUCCUGGAGACACAGUGACUAUCCGCUGCAAAGCCAGUUCAAGCCUCACUGCUGGUAGCUAUAACGUACUAGCCUGGUACCAACAGAAAGCAGGACAAGCUCCUAAAAGGCUUAUCUAUCAUGCUACCUCCCGGCCAUCUGGGGUUCCAACCCGGUUCAGCGGCAGUGGCUCUGGCACCGACUACACUCUCACAAUCAGCAGAGUUGAAGCUGAAGAUGCUGGAGAUUAUUAUUGUCAACAAGGCAAGAGCUUGCCUCUCACAGUGAUACAGACCAAUACAAAAACCUCCCCAUCCUGUUCCUUUCAGUGGACACCUGCUUCCUAUACCUACUUGCUACACUAGAUUUCAGACAGCAUUUUGAUCAGUCUUGCAACACCAGGCAGAGUCCUGUGCACCCAU